RNAcentral lists this unclassified non-coding RNA (373 nucleotides) under soil metagenome. Its description in RNAcentral is "partial contains internal transcribed spacer 2 and large subunit ribosomal RNA". The stretch from base 1 to 120 matches the Rfam family "5.8S ribosomal RNA", at positions 35 to 154 of the family's 154-position model. The record is from RNAcentral.
GAUGAAGAACGUAGCGAAAUGCGAUAAUUAAUGUGAAUUGCAGAAUUCCGUGAAUCAUCGAGUCUUUGAACGCACAUUGCGCCUCAUGGCAUUCCGUGAGGCAUGCCCAUCUCAGCGUUAGAAAAUAUUCUCAAAUUUUAGUUUUGUGCUAAAAUUUGGAUCAUGUCAAGGAAGCUAUUACUAUUAUUGUGAUCGCUCUUUGGAAAUUGAUAGGUCUUUGAGUUGCUACUCAUAGAACGUGAUGAAUCUUUCUUCGUUCUAUUGUAAUUCACUCUGGUAGGCCUAAAACUUGUAUGCCUGUGGCAUAUCUUGUAAUUUGACCUGAGAUUGGGUAGGGAUACCCGCUGAACUUAAGCAUAUCAUAAGCGGAGGA